Molecule: transfer RNA, 73 nt
Filed under: Chloroflexi bacterium OLB15
Lineage: Bacteria; Bacillati; Chloroflexota
Description: tRNA-Trp
Rfam family: tRNA
About the family: Transfer RNA (tRNA) molecules are approximately 80 nucleotides in length. Their secondary structure includes four short double-helical elements and three loops (D, anti-codon, and T loops). Further hydrogen bonds mediate the characteristic L-shaped molecular structure. tRNAs have two regions of fundamental functional importance: the anti-codon, which is responsible for specific mRNA codon recognition, and the 3' end, to which the tRNAs corresponding amino acid is attached (by aminoacyl-tRNA synthetases). tRNAs cope with the degeneracy of the genetic code in two manners: having more than one tRNA (with a specific anti-codon) for a particular amino acid; and 'wobble' base-pairing, i.e. permitting non-standard base-pairing at the 3rd anti-codon position.
Source: RNAcentral
UAGGGGCGUGGUGAAACGGCAUCAUUACUCUCUCCAAAAGAGUCGUUCUUGGUUCGAAUCCAGGCGCCCCUGU